UGAGGAAUAUUGCACAAUGGGCGCAAGCCUGAUGCAGCGACGCCGCGUGUGGGAUGAAGGGGCUACGCCUCGUAAACCACUGUAGCCCGGGACGAAAAACGCCUUAGAGGCGCUAGACGGUACCGGGAAAGUGAGGGUCGGCUAACUACGUGCCAGCAGCCGCGGUAAUACGUAGGACCCAAGCGUUGUCCGGAUUUACUGGGUGUAAAGGGUGCGCAGGCGGAUGGGUAAGUCAGGGGUGAAAGUCUGCAGCUUAACUGUAGAAUUGCCUUUGAUACUGCUCAUCUUGAGUGUGGGAGAGGUUGAUGGAAUUCCAGGUGUAGCAGUGAAAUGCGUAGAUAUCUGGAAGAACACCAGUGGCGAAGGCGGUCAACUGGCCCAUAACUGACGCUCAUGCACGAAAGCGUGGGGAGCAAACA
Molecule: ribosomal RNA, 419 nt
Filed under: uncultured bacterium
Lineage: Bacteria
Description: bacterial SSU rRNA
Rfam family: Bacterial small subunit ribosomal RNA
Source: RNAcentral